AUACGGAGGGUGCAAGCGUUACUCGGAAUCACUGGGCGUAAAGCGCGCGCAGGCGGUCUUUUAAGUUGGAUGUGAAAGCCUCCGGCUCAACCGUAGAACUGCAUCCAAAACUAUUAGACUAGAGUGUGGGAGAGGAAGAUGGAAUUAGUUGUGUAGGGGUAAAAUCCGUAGAGAUAACUAGGAAUACCAAAAGCGAAGGCAAUCUUCUGGAACACUACUGACGCUGAGGCGCGAAAGCGUGGGGAGCAAACAGGAUUAGAUACCCUAGUAGUCC
Molecule: ribosomal RNA, 274 nt
Filed under: uncultured bacterium
Lineage: Bacteria
Description: partial 16S ribosomal RNA
Rfam family: Bacterial small subunit ribosomal RNA
Source: RNAcentral